RNAcentral lists this long non-coding RNA (568 nucleotides) under Nicotiana benthamiana. RNAcentral's name for it is "long non-coding RNA (NBEN_LNC012919)". The record is from RNAcentral. Lineage: Eukaryota; Viridiplantae; Streptophyta; Magnoliopsida; Solanales; Solanaceae.
ACGCCAAUAUAUCGGAUCACAUAAUGCAUGAAUAAUACAAGAAUAUUUGUAAAUCUGCAAAAUUACUAUUUUCCACAGUGCUAAAAUAAUAUCAGACAAGAAAAAAUCCAAUUCAAUUACAAAAAAAAUCGACUUACAACUCAAUCGCCUUCUGAUGAAAUUCAAUAUUUAUUUAACUUAAACCUGAUCUUCCAACUUUUAAGAGCUAGAAAUAGAAACUUGAAACCAUUCAUUAAAGCAACUGGACCUUUUAAUUUCGAACACUGAUUUUUUUUUUGGGUACAUCGGGAAAAACUAAAUAAAUUGCUUAAAAUCUCUCAUAAGCGUGAAAGAUGUGAGUUAAUAGGAAAAUAAGAAACAAGAAUUGGAGCACCCCUAGUACUUGACUUGUUUUUGCUCUUUGCAACUUUCUCUGAUGAUUUUAGGUUGUUGACAUUAUUAGAAUUAUCAGGAACUCUAGAAGAUGAAGAAGAAGCAAUAGUAAAACAGUUCAACAAUCCUGAAAGCAAAGCCAUUUAUGAAUGUUUUAAUUUUCUUUUCACUGCUGAGAGCUAAAAGAAGAAGUAUU